RNAcentral lists this ribosomal RNA (488 nucleotides) under uncultured bacterium. RNAcentral's name for it is "partial 16S ribosomal RNA". It matches the Rfam family "Bacterial small subunit ribosomal RNA", at positions 899 to 1397 of the family's 1533-position model. The record is from RNAcentral.
ACUCAAAUGAAUUGACGGGGACCCGCACAAGCGGUGGAGCAUGUGGUUUAAUUGGAUGGUAAGCCGGGCACCUCACCCAGAUUUGACAUCCUGCUGAAAGGCACUAGAAAUAGAGCCCCUCUUACGACAGCAGAGACAGGUGCUGCACGGUUGUCGUCAGCUCGUGUUGUGAAAUGUACGGUUAAGUCCGAUAACGAGCGCAACCCUUAUUGCCAGUUAGAUAUGUCUGGCGAGACUGCCGUGGUUAACACGGAGGAAGGUGGGGAUGACGUCAAAUCAGCGUGGCCUUUAUAUCUGGGGCGACACACGUGCUACAAUGGGUAGGUCACAAUGGGAUGCUAAACCGUAAGGUGGAGCCAAACCCAACAAAACUACCCCAAGUUCGGAUUGAGGUCUGCAACUCGACCUCAUGAAGCUGGAAUCGCUAGUAACCGCAAAUCAGCCAUGUUGCGGUGAAUACGUUCUCGGGUCUUGUACACACCGCCCGU